CCCUUAGAUGUCCGGGGCCGCACGCGCGCUACACUGAAGGAAUCAGCGUGGCUUUCUCCCUGACCCGAAGGGGUUGGGAAACCCGUUGAAUCUCCUUCGUGAUAGGGAUUGGGGCUUGAAAUUGUUCCCCAUGAACGAGGAAUUCCCAGUAAGCGCGAGUCAUAAGCUCGCGUUGAUUACGUCCCUGCCCUUUGUACACACCGCCCGUCGCUACUACCGAUUGAACGGUUUAGUGAGGGCCUCGGAUUGGUCUCGGCCCGCUCUUUACCGGGCGGCGCCGUUGGUCGAGAAGACGCUCGAACUUGAUCGUUUAGAGGAAGUAAAAGUCGUAACA
Molecule: ribosomal RNA, 334 nt
Filed under: uncultured eukaryote
Lineage: Eukaryota
Description: partial 18S ribosomal RNA
Rfam family: Eukaryotic small subunit ribosomal RNA
Source: RNAcentral